GCUCUGGCAGCUGUCAUGAGUCAUGUGCCUCAGAGGAGCAGAGGAUUCUCUAUGUGGGUGGAGGAUUCAUCAACUGAAAGUCACAACCAUAAGAACAAGGGAAUAUGCCUGUGGAGGGUUGCCAUCUGUGUUGGACUCUGCACAUUACUUCACUGAAGCUCGAUCCUUUCAACAGCUGCAGUAAAACAGGAAAUAGAGUCUUGCUCUGUGCUAUGCCAUGUGAGAUUGGGAUAGUGUUGAUGAAAGCAGAUCCAUGGCCACAAAGAGUGUCACUAUUCCCAGCAGCUUUGGAGGCUAAGUCCUUCAUUAAUUAAGGUGUAUGGCUACUGAGAGACCACCACACACCACGUCCCUCCUGGACAGAACUUCACACAAGCUAUGGGCCGUGAAGCUGAUAAACCUGAACCUGAAUGUGAUUAAGCCUCUAAGGGGAAGUAUCAAUUUGUAGGAAGUUUUGAAGACAAAAAUGCAGUAAAUGAUACCAUGGGAAAGCAAUCACAAAGUCUAAAUGAGGAAAUUCUACAGGACGACUAACCUGAUUUCUUCAACAAACUGCAAGGAAAAAAGGAAAGAGAAGACAGGAAAUCUAUGGCUCAAGAGACUUCAAGGGCUAGAGUUGUACAUAGCUCGGUGGUGGAGCGCUUGCCUAGCACAAGUGAGGCACUGGGUUUGAUUCUCUGGACCACAUAAAAAUAAAUAGAUAAAAUAAAGGCAUUGUGUCCAUCUACAAGUAAAAAUUUAAAAAAAAAAAGAGACUUCAAGAGCUAGAGAACAUAUCAAUUGAAUGCAGUGCACAGACCUUAUUAAAUUCUGAUUCUAUAAAUAUACAUCUCUUUCUGUCUCUCUCUGCCACUCAGAGACAAACACAUUUAUGAAGAGAUAUUUGAUAAUAUUAAGGAAUUUUAUUUUAGGUGUAGUAAGGGUAGUGUGUUCUGUUUAAUAAAAUUGUUGUCUUAUCUUUUACAGGUUCUUGAUAUUUAUGGAUGAAAGGAUAUUAAAUUUGGGGUUUGUGUAAGAAUGAUAGGAAGGAGAACCUGUGUAGAUCAAAGAAACAAGAUUAGCUAAGAGGUAAUAAUUGUUUUAGUUAGGUGGUGAGUUUCAUUGUAUUUUAUACUCUUUUUUGUAAUAAAAUUUCUUAAAAUUUUAACACUUAUUAAGUUAAAAAGGUAUGCAAAAGUAAAAGUAUAAUUGAUCUAUAGAACUAAGAGCUGGUCUGGUAAAAGACUAAUAAAAUAGAGAUAUUUCUUGGCAUGUUCAUCUUAUUUAAAAAAGAGACAAGGCACAAACAAAGUCCAUAAAGAAUAUAAAAGGCAAAUAAUUCUGAUUUAGAUCAGAUAUGAAGGAGUCUGAAAACAUUUGCCUUAAUCCAUGUCGGUAAAUUUUGACCUCCUGAGGAUAUUGUGCAAUACCUGGAGAUAUUUUAAUUGUCACAAAUGUGUGCACUGGGGGGAUUGCUACUGACAUAGUUGGUAGAAACCAGUGCUGCUGCUGCUGCGGCUGCUGCACAUCCGACAACACACAGGACAGCUUCCCACAACCAAGAAGCAACCAGAAUGAAAUGUCAAUAACACUGAAAUUGAAAAAUUCUGAACUGGUUGACAGGCUUCUAGGAAAACUUUAAUAAGAGAAAUUGGCCUCAGAAGAAGCUGAAAAUCUGGAUAAUGCAAUAACCAGAGAAGAUAUUGAAUAAUUUUCCAUGAAUCUUCCUAUUCCCCAAAAGUACAAGGCAAAUAAAUUCUACCAGGUGAGUUCUACCAACACUUCAAUUAAUACAUAAUUUUCAUUUCAUCUAAAAAGUUUGAGAAUAGAAAAAGAUGAGAAUCCAUGAAUCUCAUUUAUUAGCAAAGCAUAACCUUGAUACUGAAACCAAACAAAGACACCAUAAAAGUAGAAGGCUA
Molecule: non-coding RNA, 1898 nt
Organism: Ictidomys tridecemlineatus (thirteen-lined ground squirrel)
Lineage: Eukaryota; Metazoa; Chordata; Mammalia; Rodentia; Sciuridae
Source: RefSeq, a predicted model, not a curated record